GACGAACGCUGGCGGCGUGCUUAACACAUGCAAGUCGAACGCUGAAGCUCAGCUUGCUGGGUGGAUGAGUGGCGAACGGGUGAGUAACACGUGAGUAACCUGCCCUCUUCUUUGGGAUAACGCCCGGAAACGGGUGCUAAUACUGGAUAUUCACUGAUUCUCGCAUGGGGGUUGGUGGAAAGGUUUUUUCUGGUGGGGGAUGGGCUCGCGGCCUAUCAGCUUGUUGGUGGGGUGAUGGCCUACCAAGGCUUUGACGGGUAGCCGGCCUGAGAGGGUGACCGGUCACAUUGGGACUGAGAUACGGCCCAGACUCCUACGGGAGGCAGCAGUGGGGAAUAUUGCACAAUGGGCGAAAGCCUGAUGCAGCGACGCCGCGUGAGGGGUGGAGGCCUUCGGGUUGUAAACCUCUUUCGCUCAUGGUCAAGCCGCAGCUUUGGGUUGUGGUGAGGGUAGUGGGUAAAGAAGCGCCGGCUAACUACGUG
RNAcentral lists this ribosomal RNA (482 nucleotides) under uncultured bacterium. RNAcentral's name for it is "partial 16S ribosomal RNA". It matches the Rfam family "Bacterial small subunit ribosomal RNA", at positions 28 to 507 of the family's 1533-position model. The record is from RNAcentral.